Molecule: ribosomal RNA, 253 nt
Filed under: uncultured prokaryote
Description: partial 16S ribosomal RNA
Rfam family: Bacterial small subunit ribosomal RNA
Source: RNAcentral
UACAGAGGGUGCAAGCGUUGUUCGGAAUUAUUGGGCGUAAAGCGCGUGUAGGCGGCUUUGCAAGUUGGGUGUGAAAUCCCUCGGCUCAACCGAGGAAGGGCGCCCAAAACUGCAUGGCUUGAGUCUCGGAGAGGAUGGCGGAAUUCCCCAAGUAGAGGUGAAAUUCGUAGAUAUGGGGAGGAACACCGGUGGCGAAGGCGGCCAUCUGGACGAAGACUGACGCUGAGACGCGAAAGCGUGGGGAGCAAACAGG